Long non-coding RNA from Lactuca sativa (garden lettuce), 1052 nucleotides. RefSeq lists it as uncharacterized. Lineage: Eukaryota; Viridiplantae; Streptophyta; Magnoliopsida; Asterales; Asteraceae. The record is from RefSeq and is a predicted model, not a curated record.
GUUUUCUAACCUCCCAUCUCUUUCUCUUUUAAAAACCCUUCUUAGUUUGUAAUAAACAUUACAGUUUGGAGUACCAACAUCCUAUUGAGAUCCUUAUAAUUUGUGUCGAUAUGAAGUUACAUUACACUGACAGAUUAAGGAGAUGUAAAUCACUAGUGAUAAUGAAUUAUUGAACGAAAGUGAAGGAGUGAAGGAACUUAAUUGAUGAAGAAGCCAUGAAAUUUUUAGAAGUUUAUAAUUGAAGACCAUAUUUUUAAUAAUUUUGGGGUUCCCACUAGAUGAAGAGAAGAGUUUUGAAGAAAUUUUAUAGAAAGAAAAGGUCAGGAAUGAUCAAAAUCCAUUAAGAAGGACUGAUGCAUUAUUUUAAGACAUUAUGAGAAGACACCACAACAUGGCCAUCAUCUCCAUGUCAUGGCAUUUGAUAUUAUCUCGGUUGCAUCAGACCAGUUACCAUGAUGUGGCAUCAUUUGACCACGCCGUGGCAAUCUUAUAUGUCGCGAUCAUGACGAUUUCAAACACGACACCAUGACGUGGCAUUUCUUUCCCAUGUUGUGUUUGAGGUUUAACAUACUUUUUGAAGAAUGGUUCUUUGGUUUAUUUUGAUCCAUCUUAUUUAAUUCACAAGAAGAAGGCAUAAAAGUACUGUUACCAAUCAUUAUACGAGAAUUCUGAGCUUUACCACAUAAGUUCCAGAAUUCGAUCUCACCACUACUAUCCUAGGGGAGUCUGUUCCAAUUUCUCCUAUUUAGUUCUAUCUUCUUUAAAUGUUUAAGCAUGCAAUGGGGACAUUGCAUCAAUUAAGUGUGGGGUAGGGGUCAGAUAUAGGAAUGCAAGCAUACUGAGAAAAAAUUGAAAAAUUACUAGAACUUAAAAAAUUAUUAUACAGAUUUUAAAAAAUAAUCUAAAAACUAAAUCUAGUUAUAAAAUUGUUGUAUUGUUGUGUUGAGACCUAGGUUGCUAGUGUAUUUGUGGCUUCCCUGUCCUAGUGAAAUCAUGGAACAAAAACACAACCUUGCUUAGUUUGAGGGCCAUAAUAUGUUUAGCAUCGUGUA